AUUGAACGCUGGCGGCAGGCUUAACACAUGCAAGUCGAGCGGAGAUGAGGUGCUUGCACCUUAUCUUAGCGGCGGACGGGUGAGUAAUGCUUAGGAAUCUGCCUAUUAGUGGGGGACAACAUUCCGAAAGGAAUGCUAAUACCGCAUACGUCCUACGGGAGAAAGCAGGGGAUCUUCGGACCUUGCGCUAAUAGAUGAGCCUCAGUCGGAUUAGCUAGUUGGUGGGGUAAAGGCCUACCAAGGCGACGAUCUGUAGCGGGUCUGAGAGGAAGAUCCGCCACACUGGGACUGAGACACGGCCCAGACUCCUACGGGAGGCAGCAGUGGGGAAUAUUGGACAAUGGGGGGAACCCUGAUCCAGCCAUGCCGCGUGUGUGAAGAAGGCCUUAUGGUUGUAAAGCACUUUAAGCGAGGAGGAGGCUCUUUUGGUUAAUACCCAAGAUGAGUGGACGUUACUCGCAGAAUAAGCACCGGCUAACUCUGUGCCAGCAGCCGCGGUAA
Molecule: ribosomal RNA, 501 nt
Filed under: uncultured bacterium
Lineage: Bacteria
Description: partial 16S ribosomal RNA
Rfam family: Bacterial small subunit ribosomal RNA
Source: RNAcentral